Molecule: non-coding RNA, 1681 nt
Organism: Lactuca sativa (garden lettuce)
Lineage: Eukaryota; Viridiplantae; Streptophyta; Magnoliopsida; Asterales; Asteraceae
Source: RefSeq, a predicted model, not a curated record
UUUUAAUUUUUUUUGGAAAUCGGUAGCUACUACGGAAUACCGAGGGAACGAGUGACUUCUAAAAUUUCAUUAGCCCUUCUUCCCCCACAUAUUUGCUUGGUUUUAUUUCCCCUCGUUCACCAAUAAGAAUAAUAAACUCUUUUAUUUUUUAAUUUUUCGAUAAUUGCUCCCACUUCGGUCUAGGAUUUAAAAUUACAGCAUAUGCCAUCUUCAAUUAUAUCAGUUGUUCCUCAUAUCUCCGUCGCCCUCCGCUCCUCUUUCUCAUAUCUUCGCCGCCCUUCGCCAUCUCUUUGUUUAUAAUCUGCCAUCUCCAUCACCAUUAUCGAUUCGGAUCCAUUACCACUCAACCUGGCGACCACGGCUCCGGAAUCGGCCACUGCAUCGCUGUUGCCCUAUUCCAACUGCCAUUCUCCACCAUCUUUGCCUCUACUGCCGCCUCCUUCCACUUGGUUUUAUCUACUUUCGUUAAAGAAGGUAAACCCUAAAUUUUAUGUAUCGAUUAGAAUUAAAUCCAGAUAUUACGGGUGUAGAAAAGCGUCGGGAAUAUUGAUUUUUGUUGCUCUUCACAUCAAAUGACGUUGCAGUUUAUGGGUAAAGAUAUAUGAAUUUCUAGUUUUCUGUUUUGCUAAAUUUACUGAUUUGGUAAUGGUUUAGCGUAUACAAAUCAUUAAUUUGAAUAUAAAUAUAUUAUCUUUUUUCAGUGAACUUACACUUAUACUUCAUAGUUAUACUUGGACGCUUCACGGAUUCUGGUGUGAUAUGCAAAGAAAUAAAUGGCUAAACUUGGAUAGAUUUGAAGCAUGCUAAUAUCUCAGUACUUAUCAACUUGAACUCAUUAGUGAUUGUAGUUGAUCUUUUAUGUGAUCACUACUUGAUUGCCUGAGUGAUUAUUAUUAUUGUUCAACAAUAUUUUAUUUAUACUUUUUUGCAUUUGUUUUUCAAAAUGUUUUUGGGCCAAGGAUAUCGUUGGUUAAAAAGGAGAGGUGGUAAUUUUAUGCUAUGUUUGAAUAUCCAAUGAUUUUUAAUACACAAUGGUGACUUAUUUUUUUUGUUUCUUUUCAUACAUUCUUAUCAGCCAAUGCUUCUAUCUAGGUAUUGCACAUAUCUCUGGACUUCAAUUAAUUAAUCUUCAUUUUGUCACUUUAUUCCUGGAAAUCAGUAUGUGAUUUUUUUGAAUCGCAAGGGUGUGGAUAGUAAGAUUUCUCGUGCUCAUUUUCAAACAUAUCAUAGCUUGUAAGUAUCACUUGCUCGCUUCUUGGAUAAUAAAAUUUAGAAAAUUUUAUGAUGUGAUUUUGUCUAGUUUUGAUCUUCUUCAUCAAAGUUAGUAUGAGAAGUUACUUGCAAGAAAUGCCUGGAAGCAAGUGUGGUGAUUAUUAGUAUCUUAAUUAAGUCGUAUGGGAAACCAAGCAUGACUGACAAAAUAGGUAAAGGAGUCAAGUAUGAAACUUCUAGGCUCAAAUGCUCGGUAAGUCAAAGGCAUGAAGAGAUGCAACGAAGACAAAUACAACUUGAAGAUCAAUUGACGUCUUUUAUGAGACUAUUCAGUAAUCGGAUAAUCCACCAAAUGACUUUUAGUUUAUAUCUUUUAAACACUUAAUAAUGUAUUUGAAACAUUGACUGCAUACACGAUGUUUAUUGUAAUGUUUAUUUUGAUGGAUUUUGAGCAUAACAAACAAUCUUA